AAGGUGAAACCGCGAAUGGCUCAUUACAUUCACCUAAUAUACUGGAUAGUAUCAGUUACUUGGAUAACUGCGGUAAUUCUGGAGCUAAUACAUGCGUCCAAGACCCGAACUUGCGUGAGGGUCGCUUUUAUUAGAUCAAGACCAAACGACCUCGUGUCGUCCCCCUGGUGACUCUGAAUAACUUUGUGCUGAUCGCACGGCCUUGUGCCGGCGACGUAUCUUUCUAAGGUGUGCCCUAUCAACUGUCGACUGUGGCAUAGACGCCCACAGUGGUUUUGACGGGUAACGGGGAAUCAGGGUUCGAUUCCGGAGAGGGAGCCUGAGAAACGGCUACCACUUCUAAGGAAGGCAGCAGGCACGCAAAUUACCCACUGGUCGAAGACCGAGGUAGUGACGAAAACUAACGAUACCGGACUCAUCCGAGGCCCGGUAAUCGGAAUGAGUACACUUUAAAUCCUUUAACGAGGAACCAUU
This 474-nucleotide ribosomal RNA is filed under the name uncultured eukaryote. RNAcentral describes it as "SSU rRNA". It matches the Rfam family "Eukaryotic small subunit ribosomal RNA", at positions 78 to 549 of the family's 1831-position model. The record is from RNAcentral.